This 902-nucleotide ribosomal RNA is filed under the name Agreia sp. RNAcentral's name for it is "bacterial SSU rRNA". It matches the Rfam family "Bacterial small subunit ribosomal RNA", at positions 551 to 1450 of the family's 1533-position model. The record is from RNAcentral. Lineage: Bacteria; Bacillati; Actinomycetota; Actinomycetes; Micrococcales; Microbacteriaceae.
UUAUUGGGCGUAAGAGCUCGUAGGCGGUUUGUCGCGUCUGCUGUGAAAACUGGAGGCUCAACCUCCAGCCUGCAGUGGGUACGGGCAGACUAGAGUGCGGUAGGGGAGAUUGGAAUUCCUGGUGUAGCGGUGGAAUGCGCAGAUAUCAGGAGGAACACCGAUGGCGAAGGCAGAUCUCUGGGCCGUAACUGACGCUGAGGAGCGAAAGCAUGGGGAGCGAACAGGAUUAGAUACCCUGGUAGUCCAUGCCGUAAACGUUGGGAACUAGAUGUGGGGGCCAUUCCACGGUCUCCGUGUCGCAGCUAACGCAUUAAGUUCCCCGCCUGGGGAGUACGGCCGCAAGGCUAAAACUCAAAGGAAUUGACGGGGGCCCGCACAAGCGGCGGAGCAUGCGGAUUAAUUCGAUGCAACGCGAAGAACCUUACCAAGGCUUGACAUAUACGAGAACGGGCCAGAAAUGGUCAACUCUUUGGACACUCGUAAACAGGUGGUGCAUGGUUGUCGUCAGCUCGUGUCGUGAGAUGUUGGGUUAAGUCCCGCAACGAGCGCAACCCUCGUUCUAUGUUGCCAGCACGUUAUGGUGGGAACUCAUAGGAGACUGCCGGGGUCAACUCGGAGGAAGGUGGGGAUGACGUCAAAUCAUCAUGCCCCUUAUGUCUUGGGCUUCACGCAUGCUACAAUGGCCGGUACAAAGGGCUGCAAUACCGUAGGGUGGAGCGAAUCCCAAAAAGCCGGUCUCAGUUCAGAUUGAGGUCUGCAACUCGACCUCAUGAAGUCGGAGUCGCUAGUAAUCGCAGAUCAGCAACGCUGCGGAGAAUACGUUCCCGGGUCGUGUACACACCGCCCGUCAAGUCAUGAAAGUCGGUAACACCCAACGCCAGUGCCUAACCCCUUGUGGGAGG